CCUACGGGUGGCAGCAGUGGGGAAUAUUGGGCAAUGGGCGCAAGCCUGACCCAGCAACGCCGCGUGAGGGAAGAAGUCUUUCGGUUUGUAAACUUCUUUUAUCAGGGACGAAGCAGGUGACGGUACCUUAUGAAUCAGCCACGGCUAACUUCGUGCCAGCCGCCGCGGUACUACGUCGGUGGCACGCGUUAUCCGGAUUUGCUGGGUGUAAAGGGGGUGUCGGCGGGAGUGCAAGUCAGAGGUGAAAACUAGGGGGUCAACCCAUAGCCUGCAGUGGAAACUGUACUGCUGGAGUGAUGGAGAGGCAAGCGGAAUUCCGUGUGUAGCGGUGAAAUGCGUAGAUAUACGGAGGAACACCAGUGGCGAAGGCGGAUUGCUGGACAGUAACUGACGCUGAGGCGCGAAAGCGUGGGGAGCAAACAGGAUUAGAUACCCGGGUAGUC
RNAcentral lists this ribosomal RNA (443 nucleotides) under uncultured bacterium. Its description in RNAcentral is "partial 16S ribosomal RNA". It matches the Rfam family "Bacterial small subunit ribosomal RNA", at positions 338 to 795 of the family's 1533-position model. The record is from RNAcentral.